GUUGUAUGGUUAAGUGACUAAGCGUAUACGGUGGAUGCCUUGGCAAAUAGAGGCGAUGAAGGACGUGUAAGUCUGCGAAAAGCUGUGGUGAGUUGACAAAACGCAUUUGAGCCACAGAUGUCCGAAUGGGGGAACCCACUGCUUCGGCAGUAUCUGCAACUGAAUACAUAGGUUGUAGAGGCAAACGAGGGGAACUGAAACAUCUAAGUACCCUUAGGAAAAGAAAUCAACCGAGAUUCCCUUAGUAGCGGCGAGCGAAAGGGGAGCAGCCGAUAAACAAAGUGUUAGUGGAAUCUUCUGGAAAGUUGAGCGAUACAGGGUGAUAGCCCCGUACAUGAAGAUGCUUUGUUUACAUAUUAAGUAGGUCGGGACACGUGUUAUCUUGACUGAAGAUGGGGGGACCAUCCUCCAAGGCUAAAUACUCCUAUUUGACCGAUAGUGAACCAGUACCGUGAGGGAAAGGCGAAAAGAACCCCUGUGAGGGGAGUGAAAUAGAACCUGAAACCGUAUACGUACAAGCAGUGGGAGCCCUUCGGGGUGACUGCGUACCUUUUGUAUAAUGGGUCAGCGACUUAUAUUUAGUAGCAAGGUUAACCGUUUAGGGGAGCCGUAGCGAAAGCGAGUGUUAACUGCGCGUCUAGUUGCUAGGUAUAGACCCGAAACCCGGUGAUCUAGCCAUGGGCAGGUUGAAGGUUGAGUAACAUCAACUGGAGGACCGAACCCACUAACGUUGAAAAGUUAGGGGAUGACUUGUGGCUGGGGGUGAAAGGCCAAUCAAACCGGGAGAUAGCUGGUUCUCCCCGAAAUCUAUUUAGGUAGAGCCUCGGACGAAUUCCUUUGGGGGUAGAGCACUGUUAAGGCUAGGGGGUCAUCCCGACUUACCAACCCUUUGCAAACUCCGAAUACCAAAGAGAACUAUCCGGGAGACACACGGCGGGUGCUAACGUCCGUCGUGAAGAGGGAAACAACCCAGACCGCCAGCUAAGGUCCCAAAAUAUUGCUAAGUGGGAAACGAUGUGGGAAGGCCCAGACAGCUAGGAGGUUGGCUUAGAAGCAGCCACCCUUUAAAGAAAGCGUAAUAGCUCACUAGUCGAGUCGGCCUGCGCGGAAGAUGUAACGGGGCUAAGCAAUAUACCGAAGCUGCGGCAGCAUGUUUACAUGCUGGGUAGGGGAGCGUUCUGUAAGCCGCUGAAGGUGAACUGUGAAGUUUGCUGGAGGUAUCAGAAGUGCGAAUGCUGACAUGAGUAACGAUAAUGCGGGUGAAAAACCCGCACGCCGGAAGACCAAGGUUUCCUGUCCCAUGCUAAUCAGGGCAGGGUAAGUCGGCCCCUAAGGCGAGGCAGAAAUGCGUAGUCGAUGGGAAACGGGUUAAUAUUCCCGUACUUAUAUAAUCAGUGAUGGAGGGACGGAGAAGGCUAGGCAAGCUUGGCGUUGGUUGUCCAAGUGAAAGUGCGUAGGCUGAGAAAUUAGGUAAAUCCGGUUUCUUAAGGCUGAGACACGAGACGAGCCACCAAGGUGGUGAAGUUGUUGAUGCCCUGCUUCCAGGAAAAGCUUCUAAACUUAUGAUUAUGUGAACCGUACCCCAAACCGACACAGGUGGUCAGGUAGAGAAUACUAAGGCGCUUGAGAGAACUCGGGUAAAGGAACUCGGCAAAAUUGUACCGUAACUUCGGGAGAAGGUACGCCCCUGAUUGUGAUAGGACUUGCUCCUUAAGCAGUCGGGGGUCGCAGUGACCAGGUGGCUGGGACUGUUUAUUAAAAACACAGCACUCUGCAAACUCGAAAGAGGACGUAUAGGGUGUGACACCUGCCCGGUGCCGGAAGGUUAAUUGAUGGGGUUAGCGUAAGCGAAGCUCUUGAUCGAAGCCCCGGUAAACGGCGGCCGUAACUAUAACGGUCCUAAGGUAGCGAAAUUCCUUGUCGGGUAAGUUCCGACCUGCACGAAUGGUGUAACCAUGGCCACGCUGUCUCUACCCGAGACUCAGUGAAAUUGAAAUCGCAGUGAAGAUGCUGUGUACCCGCACCUAGACGGAAAGACCCCGUGAACCUUUACUACAGCUUGGCACUGAACAUUGAACCUACUUGUGUAGGAUAGGUGGGAGGCUUUGAAGCAGAGACGCUAGUUUCUGUGGAGCCGUCCUUGAAAUACCACCCUGGUAUGUUUGAUGUUCUAACAUAGGUCCCUAAUCGGGAUUGUGGACAGUGUCUGGUGGGUAGUUUGACUGGGGCGGUCUCCUCCCAAAUAGUAACGGAGGAGCACGAAGGUUAGCUAAUCACGGUCGGACAUCGUGAGGUUAGUGCAAUGGCAUAAGCUAGCUUAACUGCGAGACAGACACGUCGAGCAGGUACGAAAGUAGGUCAUAGUGAUCCGGUGGUUCUGUAUGGAAGGGCCAUCGCUCAACGGAUAAAAGGUACUCCGGGGAUAACAGGCUGAUACCGCCCAAGAGUUCAUAUCGACGGCGGUGUUUGGCACCUCGAUGUCGGCUCAUCACAUCCUGGGGCUGAAGUCGGUCCCAAGGGUAUGGCUGUUCGCCAUUUAAAGUGGUACGCGAGCUGGGUUUAGAACGUCGUGAGACAGUUCGGUCCCUAUCUGGUGUGGGCGUUGGAUGAUUGAGGGGAGCUGCUCCUAGUACGAGAGGACCGGAGUGGACGAACCGCUGGUGUUCGGGUUGUUUUGCCAAAGGCAUUGCCCGGUAGCCAAGUUCGGAAUCGAUAACCGCUGAAAGCAUCUAAGCGGGAAGCGAGCCCCAAGAUGAGUCAUCCCUGGACUUAAGUCCUGGAAGGGUUGUUAUAGACUAUGACGUUGAUAGGCAGGAUGUGGAAGCGUUGCAAGGCGUUAAGCUAACCUGUACUAAUUGCCCGAGAGGCUUAACCAUACAACGCCUAAGUAGCUUUACU
Molecule: ribosomal RNA, 2898 nt
Filed under: Marisediminitalea lipolytica
Lineage: Bacteria; Pseudomonadati; Pseudomonadota; Gammaproteobacteria; Alteromonadales; Alteromonadaceae
Description: bacterial LSU rRNA
Rfam family: Bacterial large subunit ribosomal RNA
Source: RNAcentral